CCAGUCUGAAAAUCACUGGGGGUCUGCGGUGGCCCCUGGUGAGGUAACUGUGCCGACAGCAGAGGGAACAUCAAGCUUAUUGCCCACGGCGCUGCGUGGGGAGUGAAACCCAUGUUCCCACAGCC
Apus apus (common swift) is the source of this 125-nucleotide small nucleolar RNA. RefSeq annotates it as small nucleolar RNA ACA64. Lineage: Eukaryota; Metazoa; Chordata; Aves; Apodiformes; Apodidae. The transcript has a single exon. The record is from RefSeq and is a predicted model, not a curated record.